AGGGAAUCUUCCGCAAUGGACGAAAGUCUGACGGAGCAACGCCGCGUGAGUGAUGAAGGUUUUCGGAUCGUAAAGCUCUGUUGCCAGGGAAGAACGUCCUGUAGAGUAACUGCUACAGGAGUGACGGUACCUGAGAAGAAAGCCCCGGCUAACUACGUGCCAGCAGCCGCGGUAAUACGUAGGGGGCAAGCGUUGUCCGGAAUUAUUGGGCGUAAAGCGCGCGCAGGCGGCUGUUAAGUCUGGUGGUUAAUCCUGGGGCUCAACCCCGGGUCGCACUGGAAACUGGAUGGCUUGAGUGCAGAAGAGGAGAGUGGAAUUCCACGUGUAGCGGUGAAAUGCGUAGAGAUGUGGAGGAACACCAGUGGCGAAGGCGACUCUCUGGGCUGUAACUGACGCUGAGGCGCGAAAGCGUGGGGAGCAAAC
Molecule: ribosomal RNA, 423 nt
Filed under: uncultured bacterium
Lineage: Bacteria
Description: bacterial SSU rRNA
Rfam family: Bacterial small subunit ribosomal RNA
Source: RNAcentral